GUGGAUAGCGGAGAAAUUCCAAUCGAACCCGGAGAUAGCUGGUUCUCCUCGAAAUAGCUUUAGGGCUAGCCUCGUUUUAGUCUGGUGGAGGUAGAGCACUGAAUUCCCAAGGGGGCGUCAAAGCUUACUAAGGGAUAUCAAACUCCGAAUGCCAUACAGAUGAUGAACGGGAGUCAGACUAUACGAGAUAAGUUGGAUAGUCAAAAGGGAAAGAGCCCAGACCUGCAGCUAAGGUCCCAAAGUGCAUGUUAAGUGGAAAAGGAUGUGGGAUCUCUAAGACAACUAGGAUGUUGGCUCAGAAGCAGCCAUUCAUUCAAAGAGUGCGUAACAGCUCACUAGUCGAGAGGUCCUGCGCCGAAAAUGUCCGGGGCUAAAACAUGCCACCGAAGCUCAGGAAUGACAUAGUCAUUGGUAGAGGAGCAUUCUUAACGCGAAGAAGCAGUACCGUAAGGAGCUGUGGAGUGCUAAGAAGAGAGAAUGCCGGAAUGAGUAGCGAGAACAAGGUGAGAAUCCUUGUGGCCGAAUAUCCAAGGUCUCCAGGGUAAAGCUGAUCUGCCCUGGGAAAGUCGGGACCUAAGGUCAGGCUGAAAAGCGUAGCCGAUGGACAACAGGUUGAUAUUCCUGUACCGCAUGGUAACAGAACUGUGGGGACACGGGAGGGAAACAUGGGCCGGAAAUGGAAAGUCCGGUACAAGCGAGGUAGUCGCACAGCAGGCAAAUCCGCUGUGCAUAAGACGAAGCCGUGAUGUGGAGCGAAAUGAAGUAGCGAAGCAUGUGCCCCCUCCUGUCGAGAAAAGCCGCUAUUGUUUGCCAUGCGCCCGUACCGUAAACCGACACAGGUGGAUGAGGAGAGAAUCCUAAGGCCGGCGGGAGAAGCAUUGUCAAGGAACUCGGCAAAAUGACCCCGUAACUUCGGGAGAAGGGGUGCCCACGCAAGUGGGCCGCAGAGAAUAGGCUCAAGCAACUGUUUAGCAAAAACACAGGUCUAUGCGAAACCGUAAGGUGAUGUAUAUGGGCUGACGCCUGCCCGGUGCUGGAAGGUUAAGAGGAGAGGUUAGAGCAAUCGAAGCUUUGAAUUGAAGCCCCAGUAAACGGCGGCCGUAACUAUAACGGUCCUAAGGUAGCGAAAUUCCUUGUCGGGUAAGUUCCGACCCGCACGAAAGGCGUAAUGAUUUGAGCGCUGUCUCGACAAUGCACCCGGUGAAAUUGAAGUACCAGUGAAGAUGCUGGUUACCCGCGCCAGGACGGAAAGACCCCAUGGAGCUUUACUCCAGUUUGGUACUGGAGCCUGGUAUUGCAUGUACAGGAUAGGUGGGAGCUUAAGAACCUGGGACGCCAGUCUCAGGGGAGGCGCUGUUGGGAUACCACCCUUGCAAUAUCGGGUUUCUAACCAGCCGCCGUGAUCCGGCGGUGGGACAAUGCCAGGCGGGGAGUUUGACUGGGGCGGUCGCCUCCGAAAGGGUAUCGGAGGCGCUCAAAGUUUCCCUCAUAAUGGUCGGAAACCAUUAGAAGAGUGCAAAGGCAGAAGGGAGGCUGACUGCGACACCGACGGGUGGAGCAGGUACGAAAGUAGGACUUAGUGAUCCGGUGGCAUAAAGUGGGAUUGCCAUCGCUCAACGGAUAAAAGCUACCCUGGGGAUAACAGGCUUAUCACUCCCAAGAGUUCACAUCGACGGAGUGGUUUGGCACCUCGAUGUCGGCUCAUCGCAUCCUGGGGCUGUAGUAGGUCCCAAGGGUUGGGCUGUUCGCCCAUUAAAGCGGUACGCGAGCUGGGUUCAGAACGUCGUGAGACAGUUCGGUCCCUAUCCGGCGCGGGCGUAGGAUAUCUGAGGGGAGCUGGCCUUAGUACGAGAGGACCGGGCUGGACGGACCACUGGUGUACCGGCUGUCAUGCCAAUGGCAUCGCCGGGUAGCCAAGUCCGGAAGGAAUAAACGCUGAAGGCAUCUAAGCGUGAAGUCCCCCCCAAGAUGAGAUAUCCCAUCCUUUU
RNAcentral lists this ribosomal RNA (1988 nucleotides) under human gut metagenome. Its description in RNAcentral is "bacterial LSU rRNA". It matches the Rfam family "Bacterial large subunit ribosomal RNA", at positions 811 to 2823 of the family's 2925-position model. The record is from RNAcentral.